GCCAGACUCCUACGGGAGGCAGCAGUGGGGAAUAUUGGGCAAUGGACGCAAGUCUGACCCAGCAACGCCGCGUGAAGGAAGAAGGCUUUCGGGUUGUAAACUUCUUUUAAGGGGGAAGAGCAGAAGACGGUACCCCUUGAAUAAGCCACGGCUAACUCCGUGCCAGCAGCCGCGGUAAUACGGAGGAUGCGAGCGUUAUCCGGAUUUAUUGGGUUUAAAGGGUGCGUAGGCGGACUGGAAAGUCAGCGGUAAAAUCGAGAGGCUCAACCUCUUUCCGCCGUUGAAACUGUCGGUCUUGAGUGGGCGAGAAGUAUGCGGAAUGCGUGGUGUAGCGGUGAAAUGCAUAGAUAUCACGCAGAACUCCGAUUGCGAAGGCAGCAUACCGGCGCCCGACUGACGCUGAGGCACGAAAGCGUGGGUAUCGAACAGGAUUAGAUACCCGGGUA
RNAcentral lists this ribosomal RNA (446 nucleotides) under uncultured bacterium. RNAcentral's name for it is "bacterial SSU rRNA". It matches the Rfam family "Bacterial small subunit ribosomal RNA", at positions 330 to 792 of the family's 1533-position model. The record is from RNAcentral.